This 484-nucleotide ribosomal RNA is filed under the name uncultured bacterium. RNAcentral describes it as "partial 16S ribosomal RNA". It matches the Rfam family "Bacterial small subunit ribosomal RNA", at positions 28 to 523 of the family's 1533-position model. The record is from RNAcentral.
GACGAACGCUGGCGGCGUGCUUAACACAUGCAAGUCGAACGAUGAACCCGGAGCUUGCUCCGGCGGAUUAGUGGCGAACGGGUGAGUAACACGUGAGUAACCUGCCCUUGACUCUGGGAUAACUGCUAGAAAUGGUAGCUAAUACCGGAUACGACCCUCGGUGGCAUCACCAGGGGGUGGAAAGAAUUUGGGUCAAGGAUGGACUCGCGGCCUAUCAGCUAGUUGGUGAGGUAACGGCUCACCAAGGCGACAACGGGUAGCCGGCCUGAGAGGGUGGCCGGCCACACUGGACAUGAGACACGGCCCAGACUCCUACGGGAGGCAGCAGUGGGGAAUAUUGCACAAUGGGCGCAAGCCUGAUGCAGCAACGCCGCGUGAGGGAUGACGGCCUUCGGGUUGUAAACCUCUUUUAGUAGGGAAGAAGCGAGAGUGACGGUACCUGCAGAAAAAGCACCGGCUAACUACGUGCCAGCCGCCGCGGUAA